AGUGAACGCUGGCGGUAGGCCUAACACAUGCAAGUCGAACGGCAGCACAGUAAGAGCUUGCUCUUACGGGUGGCGAGUGGCGGACGGGUGAGGAAUACAUCGGAAUCUACUUUUUCGUGGGGGAUAACGUAGGGAAACUUACGCUAAUACCGCAUACGACCUACGGGUGAAAGCAGUGGAUCUUCGGACCUUGCGCGAUUGAAUUAGCCGAUGUCGGAUUAGCUAGUUGGCGGGGUAAAGGCCCACCAAGGCGACGAUCCGUAGCUGGUCUGAGAGGAUGAUCAGCCACACUGGAACUGAGACACGGUCCAGACUCCUACGGGAGGCAGCAGUGGGGAAUAUUGGACAAUGGGCGAAAGCCUGAUCCAGCAAUACCGCGUGGGUGAAGAAGGCCUUCGGGUUGUAAAGCCCUUUUGUUGGGAAAGAAAAGCAGCAGGUUAAUACCCCGCUGUUCUGACGGUACCCAAAGAAUAAGCACCGGCUAACUUCGUG
RNAcentral lists this ribosomal RNA (492 nucleotides) under uncultured bacterium. RNAcentral describes it as "partial 16S ribosomal RNA". It matches the Rfam family "Bacterial small subunit ribosomal RNA", at positions 29 to 507 of the family's 1533-position model. The record is from RNAcentral.